UACGUAGGGUGCAGCGUUGUCCGGAAUUAUUGGGCGUAAAGAGCUUGUAGGCGGUUUGUCGCGUCUGCUGUGAAAUUUCGGGGCUCAACCCCGAACUUGCAGUGGGUACGGGCAGACUAGAGUGUGGUAGGGGAGACUGGAAUUCCUGGUGUAGCGGUGAAAUGCGCAGAUAUCAGGAGGAACACCGAUGGCGAAGGCAGGUCUCUGGGCCAUAACUGACGCUGAGAAGCGAAAGCAUGGGGAGCGAACAGG
RNAcentral lists this ribosomal RNA (252 nucleotides) under uncultured bacterium. RNAcentral describes it as "partial 16S ribosomal RNA". It matches the Rfam family "Bacterial small subunit ribosomal RNA", at positions 524 to 776 of the family's 1533-position model. The record is from RNAcentral.